UACGUAGGGCGCAAGCGUUGUCCGGAAUUAUUGGGCGUAAAGAGCUCGUAGGCGGUCUGUUACGUCCGCUGUGAAAACCCAGGGCUUAACCCUGGGCUUGCAGUGGAUACGGGUAGACUAGAGGCAGGUAGGGGAGAAUGGAAUUCCCGGUGUAGCGGUGAAAUGCGCAGAUAUCGGGAGGAACACCUGUGGCGAAGGCGGUUCUCUGGGCCUGACCUGACGCUGAGGAGCGAAAGCGUGGGGAGCGAACAGG
This 253-nucleotide ribosomal RNA is filed under the name uncultured bacterium. Its description in RNAcentral is "partial 16S ribosomal RNA". It matches the Rfam family "Bacterial small subunit ribosomal RNA", at positions 524 to 776 of the family's 1533-position model. The record is from RNAcentral.